UACGUAGGGGGCUAGCGUUGUCCGGAAUCAUUGGGCGUAAAGCGCGUGUAGGCGGUCCGGUAAGUCCGCUGUGAAAGUCGGGGGCUCAACCCUCGGAUGCCGGUGGAUACUGUCGGGCUUGAGUACGGAAGAGGCGAGUGGAAUUCCUGGUGUAGCGGUGAAAUGCGCAGAUAUCAGGAGGAACACCUAUGGCGAAGGCAGCUUGCUGGGACGGUACUGACGCUGAGACGCGAAAGCGUGGGGAGCAAACAGG
This 253-nucleotide ribosomal RNA is filed under the name uncultured bacterium. RNAcentral describes it as "partial 16S ribosomal RNA". It matches the Rfam family "Bacterial small subunit ribosomal RNA", at positions 524 to 776 of the family's 1533-position model. The record is from RNAcentral.